GAGACCCACGCCCACAGUUGCCAGCGUACUCUCUGGAGUGACGGGUACACUGUGGGGACCGCCGCUGCUAAAGCGGAGGAAGGAAUGGGCAACGGUAGGUCAGUAUGCCCCGAAUGUCCCGGGCUACACGCGGGCUACAAUGGUUGGUACAAUGGGUAUCUACCCCGAAAGGGGAUGGAAAUCUCCUAAAGCCAAUCUUAGUUCGGAUCGAGGGCUNCAACUCGCCCUCGUGAAGCUGGAAUCCGUAGUAAUCGCGUUUCAAUAGAACGCGGUGAAUACG
This 280-nucleotide ribosomal RNA is filed under the name uncultured bacterium. Its description in RNAcentral is "partial 16S rRNA". It matches the Rfam family "Archaeal small subunit ribosomal RNA", at positions 1047 to 1326 of the family's 1478-position model. The record is from RNAcentral.